UACAGAGGUCCCAAGCGUUGUUCGGAUUCACUGGGCGUAAAGGGUGCGUAGGUGGCCAGGUAAGUCGGAUGUGAAAUCUCGGAGCUCAACUCCGAAACUGCAUUGGAAACUGCCUGGCUUGAGGGUUGGAGGGGGGACUGGAAUACUUGGUGUAGCAGUGAAAUGCGUAGAUAUCAAGUGGAACACCAGUGGCGAAGGCGAGUCCCUGGACAACUCCUGACACUGAGGCACGAAAGCUAGGGGAGCAAACAGG
RNAcentral lists this ribosomal RNA (253 nucleotides) under uncultured prokaryote. RNAcentral describes it as "partial 16S ribosomal RNA". It matches the Rfam family "Bacterial small subunit ribosomal RNA", at positions 524 to 776 of the family's 1533-position model. The record is from RNAcentral.